RNAcentral lists this ribosomal RNA (1245 nucleotides) under uncultured bacterium. RNAcentral describes it as "partial 16S ribosomal RNA". It matches the Rfam family "Bacterial small subunit ribosomal RNA", at positions 94 to 1399 of the family's 1533-position model. The record is from RNAcentral.
CAUGGCGCACGGGUGCGUAUAAUAUAAGAACUUACCCUAAAGUAGGGGAUAAAAUACCCUAUAAUCCUUACGAGGCAAAGAUUUAUCGCUUUAGGAGAGGCUUAUACUGGAGUAGAUAGUUGGUAAGGUAAUGGCUUACCAAGUCAAUGAUCCAUAGCUGGUCUGGAAGGAUGAACAGCCACACAGGGACUGAGACACGGCCCUGACUCCGAUUGGAGGCAGCAGUGAGGAAUCUUGGGCAAUGAGGGAAACCUUGACCCAGCUAUGCCGCGUGAAGAAAACUUUGUUUUCUUCUGUCGUUGGGGAAGAUAAUGACGGUACCCAACUAAUAGAGGUUACCAAUCACGUGCCAGCAGUAGCGGUAAUACGUGAACCUCGAGUGUUACUCGAAUUAACUGGGCGUAAAGAGUUCGUAGACUGCUUUGUAAGUCAUUUGUUAAAUUUCGGGGCUUAACCCCGAGCCUGCUUAUGAUACUGCAUUGCUAGAGAUCGAAAGGGGAAAGCAGAAUUCCAUUUUUAGUGGUUAAAUACGUUGAGGAAUGGAGGAAUACCAAUGGCGAAGGCAGCUUUCUGGUGCGAUUCUGACGUUGAGGAACGAAAGUGUGGGGAGCAAACAGGAUUAGAUACCCUGGUAGUCCACACUGUAAACGAUGAGGGCUAGGUGUUGCAUUUUUAUUGCAGUGCCGUAGCUAACGCGUUAAGCCCUCCGCCUGAGGAGUACGGCCGCAAGGCUAAAACUUUAAUGAAUUGACGGGGAUCUAUACAAGCGGUGGAACAUGUGGCUUAAUUUGAUGGUACGCAACAAAUCUUACCAGCUCUUAACUAUGUUCAUUAAAACCUAAUGAGAAUUAGGUGUUUUUAGUUCGCUAAAAGGUGAUCAAUAGGUACUGCAUGGCCGUCGUCAGCUCGUGCCGUGAGGUGUAGGGUCAAGUCCCAUAACGAGCGCAACCCUUACUCUCUGUUGCUACCAGGUAAUGCUGUGCACUCUGGGAGAACUGCAGAUGUUAAGUCUGAGGAAGGAGGGGAUGAGGCCAGGUAUCAUGGUCCUUAUGGGCUGGGCUGCACAUGUGUUACAAUGGUAUGGACAAUAGGAAUGCAAUAGAGUGAUCUGGAGCCAAUCCAUAAACCAUAUCUUAGUCCGGAUGGAAGUCUGCAACUCGGCUUCCUGAAGUUGGAAUCGCUAGUAAUCGUGGAUCAUCAUGCCACGGUGAAUAAGUUCUUAGAUCUUGUACACACCGCCCGUCA